UUCUGCUAUUUCAAUAAAAUUGCAGUUGAUGUGUUCCGUCACUUGUCUGCAAAAUGACCAUUUUAAUUUGCUUGAAUUUGCUCUGAUUUUCAGGUGGUCUCUGAGGUAACAUAACUACUGUUCGGAUUUGCAGGUGCUCCCCAAAGUAGUGUUGCUACUACUGGGAUUUGCAGGUCCUCCUUGAGCCAGUGGCUACAUGUGAAAGUGAUUCAGCACGCUAGUUGGAAAAACAGGACUGCACAAAGAGUGUGGGGGCCAAACCAUUUGCUGCCCACUGCUGAGAACAGGGAACCCACAGUCAGCAGGACUGAUGUAAAAGACUUAGAGAGCUAUAGGCAGAAAUUUACAUCUCUAUCCUCUUGUGAACAGCGUCCAACAGCCACCUAUGCCAUGGAAGGAGUAGGACAUACAGAGUAGGGGAGAGCUGCGUACCUAUCAUCCAGUAAAGAAAUGAACAGCCUGUUUCUUCGUUGCGGAUCAUUGCAUUUGGUUCCAAUAAUUAUUGGAUGAGGGCUUUAAGAUGAUAGUUGAGACAUUCAUCAAUCUGAUUAUAAGUGGAGGCCAGGCAUCCCCUCUACUAUUACUAGGAGUCUUAGACCAAGCUCUGGAAUCCAGUUGAAGAGAAGAGGGAAGGAAUAUAUGAGCAAGAGAGGUCAAGAUCAUGAUGAAGAAAUCUACAGAGAUACCUGAUCCAAGCUCACGGAAACUCAUGAACUCUAGACCUACAACUGUGGAAACUUUAGGGCAUUGAACUAGGCCUUCCAUAUGUGGGAGUCAGUUGUGAAGCUUGGACUAUCAGAGGGGUCCCUGACAGUAGAACUAUGAUACAAACCCGGUACAUGAGCUAGCUUGUUGGAGCCCAUUCCCUAGGGUGGGAUGCCAUGCUCAGCCCUUAUAGCAUGGGAGAGGGGCCUGACUCUGCCCCAACCUAUUGUGCCAGACUAUGUUGACUCCUCAUGUCCUCAUGUGAGUCCUUACCUGUGAGAAGGAGUGGACUGAGGGUGGUCUAUGGAGGAGGCGACAAGGGUGGGAGGAGGUGGGGAGAUGAGAGGAGGGUGGAAGGGAGAACUGUGGUUGGAAUAUAAAAUGAAAUAAAAAAAUAAGAAAAAUGCAAAAAAGAAAAUAAACAGC
Molecule: long non-coding RNA, 1131 nt
Filed under: Cricetulus griseus (Chinese hamster)
Lineage: Eukaryota; Metazoa; Chordata; Mammalia; Rodentia; Cricetidae
Description: lncRNA (ENSCGRG00015035513.1)
Source: RNAcentral